RNAcentral lists this long non-coding RNA (903 nucleotides) under Portunus trituberculatus (swimming crab). RNAcentral's name for it is "uncharacterized LOC123500636, transcript variant X2". Lineage: Eukaryota; Metazoa; Arthropoda; Malacostraca; Decapoda; Portunidae. The record is from RNAcentral.
AAGUGUGGCCUCAUGUGAACUGGGACAUUUCGCAACCCUGGAGGAAAGACCGAGACCGAGAGCGAGGAGCCGACUGCCGAGGCCGCGAGGACAAGUCCGACAAGAUGGCGAGGAGACACGCGGAGGUUCAGAGGAAUCUCAACACAACAAUGCCAAUCAUCAAAUACAGACAAGAAAUGACUAUUCACUGUGACCUUACCAUGUCCAACAGAACUCCCUGGACUGUAACCUCAAUUUGAGCUGCACUAUGGCCCUAGAGGAGGAGGAGGAGAUUGAAAACUGAGGUCACACAUGCUUGCUUUCUUAUGGAGGAUUGAUGCAGGAGAGUGAAGAAAGUGUAAGGAAGUUUAGGUCACCACACUCCUGCAAUGACAACUGAUUCCCACUGCAGCCCACCACCCACUUCCAGCCUGGGGAGUGAGGAAGGAUCAGGUGAUCAGUACCAAGUAGUGGUUAACAAGCCAGCUGGAGUUGGUACUUUACUAGAAAAGAGAUGGAGUGGUAGGUGAAUGCUGCCUUGACUGAUCUGGGCUUGUGUCAUCACAGAAGAGGAGGAACCCAGCUGUCUACAAGAAUAAGUGGAAGAAGAGGAGGAACCCAGCUAUCUAAGUGGAAUCUGACAAGAGAAGUAGGUGACCUUUGUCAUCACAGCUGUGGAAGAUGGAGCUGUAGAUUAACUGAACCACACACACGUCAACCCUUUGUCCAUGCCUGAACCUGUCUUGGUCCAGGAAGCUGUUGCCCUUCUUCAGAGUGAGCCAGCCAGUCCAUCUUUAUCUUUAUCAUCAUCUUCAGUAGUUUCUUGCAGAUCCCUGGUUUGUAUCUCUUCUGACUAUCUUAUGCUGUACUCCUUGACUAAUAGCCACACUUGCCCUCAGCUGCCUGGACUGCUUCUACCAACUC